Molecule: small RNA, 247 nt
Filed under: Chinchilla lanigera (long-tailed chinchilla)
Lineage: Eukaryota; Metazoa; Chordata; Mammalia; Rodentia; Chinchillidae
Description: Metazoan signal recognition particle RNA (ENSCLAG00000022118.1)
Source: RNAcentral
GCCGGGCAUGGUGGCGCACACCUGUAAUCCUAGCACUCAGAGGCUGAGGCAGGAGGAUCAUUGUGAAUUCGAGACCAGCCUGGGCUACAAAGUGAGCUCAAGGCCAGCCUGAACUGCAUAUUGAGACUGUCUCAAAAAGACAAAAAAAAAAAAAAGAGAGACAGGGUUUCACUGUGCAGUUCAGACUGGCCUUAACUCACUUUGUAGUCCAGGAUGGCCUCGAACUUGCAGUGAUCCUCCUGCCUCA